UCUACGGGAGGCCGCAGUGGGGAAUAUUGGGCAAUGGGCGCAAGCCUGACCCAGCAACGCCGCGUGAAGGCAGAAGGCUUUCGGGUUGUAAACUUCUUUUCUGAGGGACGAAGAAAGUGACGGUACCUCAGGAAUAAGCCACGGCUAACUACGUGCCAGCAGUCGCGGUAGUACGUAGGUGGCAAGCGUUAUCCGGAUUUAUUGGGUGUAAAGGGCGUGGAGGCGGGAAAGCAAGUCAGAUGUGAAAAUUCAGGGCUCAACACUGGGCCUGGAUUUGAACCUGUUUUUCUUGAGUGCUGGAGAGGCAAGCGGAAUGCCGGGUGUAGCGGUGAAAUGCGUAGAUAUACGGAGGAACACCAGUGGCGAAGGCGGAUUGCUGGACAGUAACUGACGCUGAGGCGCGAAAGCGUGGGGAGCAAACAGGAUUAGAUACCCUUGUAGUC
This 443-nucleotide ribosomal RNA is filed under the name uncultured bacterium. RNAcentral describes it as "partial 16S ribosomal RNA". It matches the Rfam family "Bacterial small subunit ribosomal RNA", at positions 338 to 795 of the family's 1533-position model. The record is from RNAcentral.